ACAGAUCUUCACCAUCACUGAUGUCAGACCUGAACACAGUGGGAAUUAUUACUGUGAAGCCCAGAACAGAAGAGGACGUCAUAACUCCACCUUAUAUCUGACUGUUGGAUCAGGGAAAUCAGUAAUUAUAAUGAAUAUCAUCAGGGUGAUUCUGGUGGUCCUGAUGCUGAUUGUUCUGCUUCUCUUGAGUCUGUGGUCAAGGAAGAAGAAAACUCUGAGCUCCACCACUGAACUGAAUGAACCUGUAGAGACUAUAGAGUUGGACUCUUCUCCUGUGUAUGAAGUCUCAGACUCGCAGGUCGUCACUGCAGCACAGACAGAAGACACAGAGGAGCAGGAAGACGUGGAGUAAAGUCCAGUUAGGUUGGAGCAUCAUGAAAGGAAGAAAAAACAGGCCGACAUCAGAUUCAUAGUAACAGUUAUGAGAAGUACUUCACCUAAAUUUCAUGUGAUUUUGUUGUGAUGCAGUUGAA
Molecule: long non-coding RNA, 473 nt
Organism: Thunnus maccoyii (southern bluefin tuna)
Lineage: Eukaryota; Metazoa; Chordata; Actinopteri; Scombriformes; Scombridae
Exons: 4
Source: RefSeq, a predicted model, not a curated record